Molecule: non-coding RNA, 23 nt
Filed under: Rattus norvegicus (Norway rat)
Lineage: Eukaryota; Metazoa; Chordata; Mammalia; Rodentia; Muridae
Source: RNAcentral
UGACGCCUGCUCUCGACUCUGCC